UACGAGGGGUCCUAGCGUUGUUCGGAAUCAUUGGGCGUAAAGCGGGUGUAGGCGGCUAAGUAAGUCAGAAGUGAAAGCCCCGGGCUCAACCCGGGAAGUGCUUUUGAUACUGCUUAGCUUGAGUGUGCGAGAGGAUAGUGGAAUUCCUGGUGUAGUGGUGAAAUACAUAGAUAUCAGGAGGAACUCCAGUGAGGAAGCUGGCUAUCUGGCGCAACACUGACGCUCAGACCCGAAAGCGUGGGGAGCAAACAGG
This 253-nucleotide ribosomal RNA is filed under the name uncultured bacterium. Its description in RNAcentral is "partial 16S ribosomal RNA". It matches the Rfam family "Bacterial small subunit ribosomal RNA", at positions 524 to 776 of the family's 1533-position model. The record is from RNAcentral.